RNAcentral lists this ribosomal RNA (467 nucleotides) under uncultured bacterium. RNAcentral's name for it is "partial 16S ribosomal RNA". It matches the Rfam family "Bacterial small subunit ribosomal RNA", at positions 28 to 507 of the family's 1533-position model. The record is from RNAcentral.
GACGAACGCUGGCGGCGUGCUUAACACAUGCAAGUCGAACGGAAAGGCCUCUUUCGGGGGGUACUCGAGUGGCGAACGGGUGAGUAACACGUGAGUAACCUGCCCUUGACUUUGGGAUAACUUCAGGAAACUGGGGCUAAUACCGGAUAGGAGCUCCUGCUGCAUGGUGGGGGUUGGAAAGUUUCGGCGGUUGGGGAUGGACUCGCGGCUUAUCAGCUUGUUGGUGGGGUAGUGGCUUACCAAGGCUUUGACGGGUAGCCGGCCUGAGAGGGUGACCGGCCACAUUGGGACUGAGAUACGGCCCAGACUCCUACGGGAGGCAGCAGGGGGGAAUAUUGCACAAUGGGUGGAAGCCUGAUGCAGCAACGCCGUGUGCGGGAGGACGGCCUUCGGGUUGGAAACCGCUUUCGCUCAUGACGAAGCUUUGUGUGACGGUAGUGGGUAAAGAAGCACCGGCUAACUACGUG